Molecule: ribosomal RNA, 440 nt
Filed under: uncultured bacterium
Lineage: Bacteria
Description: partial 16S ribosomal RNA
Rfam family: Bacterial small subunit ribosomal RNA
Source: RNAcentral
CCUACGGGAGGCAGCAGUAGGGAAUAUUGCUCAAUGGGGGAAACCCUGAAGCAGCAACGCCGCGUGGAGGAUGAAGGUUUUCGGAUUGUAAACUCCUUUUGUUAGAGAAGAUAAUGACGGUAUCUAACGAAUAAGCACCGGCUAACGCCGUGCCAGCAGCCGCGGUAAUACGGAGGGUGAAAGCGUUACUCGGAAUCACUGGGCGUAAAGAGAGCGUAGGCGGGAUAGCAAGUCAGAUGUGAAAUCCAAUGGCUUAACCAUAGAACUGCAUUUGAAACUGUUAUUCUGGAGUAUGGGAGAGGUAGGUGGAAUUCUUGGUGUAGGGGUAAAAUCCGUAGAGAUCAAGAGGAAUACUCAUUGCGAAGGCGACCUGCUAGAACAUAACUGACGCUGAUGCGCGAAAGCGUGGGGAGCAAACAGGAUUAGAUACCCUUGUAGUC